UCCAGACUCUGUUAUGUCUAAUAGCAAGUUUUUAGUAGUUGGUCAAUAUGUUUGAGAUUAAUUAAGGGACACAUCUGAUGUUCAUUUGGCAGAUCUCUGGGCUUGCUAUUGGUGUUGCAGCCGAUGAGAUACGAAAGCCUUGUGAGUCUGAGUGAGGGUUUAGCCUGGCCAGAAGGCCAGAAAAGACCAGAAGGUGUUGGAAGAGAGAGGAAAGAUGUGGCUACCAGAGGGAGAAAACCCACGCAGGAAGACUUCAUGAUGUGCAAAUUGGUCAUCAUCUUCUUCCCUGCAUAAAACUUCACGGACAUUUUAUUACUCAUCAGACCUUUCAAGGUUGGAUAUUUGGGAUGAUAGGGUAAAGUUACCAAAUGCUAGGUUUAACCCGAAGAUGGGCAAAACACAAGAACAGACACAUGGUACAGUAUGGUGAGGCCAGUGGAUCAGGAGAAGACUGCCAUGGAAAAGAUAGCUGUUACUCAUAGUUCCCAAGAGGAGGGAGAACAACCCACCACCCAGGUCCACAUGAGGAGGCACCAGGGCCAAUGAGAAGGCAGAGGAAGCAGGAGGAAAAUGUGGAUUCAGGAGAUGUAUGUGCAGCUUUGUUAUGUGGAUAUAUUGCAUAAUGAUGAAGUUUGGGCUUCUAGUGUGCCCAUCACCUGAAUAGUGAAUGCUGUACUCAGUAGGAAACAAUUGGAGACACUGAUUAUUUUACCAAGCCUUUGACUGGUAUGACAUGUUUUCAGCCUGCUUUGAAGAAUUGAUGUUGAACUACAGAGCCAACAAAAGUUCCUUGGGAAAAUUGGUCUCAUACCUUGUCCUUUACAAGUUUCCUAACCUGUAGUAAGUAAAGAAUGUCAGUUUCUGACAGGCCCAGGAACCCCAAGUUAUUUUGGAAACAUCAAGAUGGAAGGAAUUCACUCAAUUCAUACAAGAAUCUGCAGGCACAAAUAAAUCCUUGGCUGGGCUCAAGAAGCUUUUAAAAGGUCUAAUCUGAGAUUCCUUAUUAAAAAGUCCCAGAAAAGCCAAUUUUUUUAAAAAAAAAAGGAUAUAUGGCAAUUAAUUAUUCUCACCUCACUUUAUGUGUAUAACGAGGCCAAGUAUAAUAAGACUAAAACUUAUUUUGCAAAUAAAUUAGUCUUACUAUGAUGUGUCUUUGAUAGAAAUGAAAAAGUGAAGAGAUAAACAUUAUUUCAGAAAAAUUAUAGUACACCUGUUAUUAGAUUCUAUUCUUGUCCAUUGUUUUUGAGUCUCUGCUAACAACCCAAUAUCUGACUGGUUUUCAUGGUCAUUCACCUGGAUCCCUCAAAGCCUCAGGUGAGUUUUACAGAGACUCCUGAAGCUAAGACUCUUACUCCUUAUGUUAGGGCUCAUUAUUUAUCUUAUAGUCCACUGUUCUCUCAAGUGCAGUACUAAAGCUGUGGAUAAUAAUAUUAGUGUUUUUGUUAUGCAGAACUUGAGACCGCAACUAGGCACCUAUGAAUACAUAGGCACCUGUGAAAACAUACAGUCAACUGCAAAAUGGUUUCACUCCUCUUGCCUUUGGGGAAACCCCUAUCCCAACUAUGCCCACUGUCAACAGGAAGAAGUUAGAGGAGUCGUCAGUCUUUUUCCAUCUCCAUAGCCCAUGCCUAAGGAUUGAGGUAUGGUGAAGCCCAAGGAAGGAAUUGAAACCACCUUUGCAGAGAUCAUGAGGGUGAGAGAAAUCUAACAUGGCUGACUGCAUCUUUCUUCUAGCCUCACAGACUGGCUGUCUUUACUCAUUUCUGUGCAUAGGCCAAACUAACCAUAGGAAGAGUUUAGUUUAGUUUAACUUGGAAACAAGCACGAUAAUAAUCCUUCCCUAAAACUAACCCUCUCUUUGCUCAGGGACUGAAAAUUAAUGAAAGGCCAUGAGAUAAGAAUUAUGGGAGGGGCCUGAAAUCUGCUGAGAUGUAGGUGUAGCUUAUAUAAUCCUAUAUUGCUCAGGAGUCAUGUGGGCAGAGGUCAGAAGAUGUGUAACUUCCCCAAUUGAUCCUAUAGAUGACCUCACCAUUGUAGAACUUGUGUUAGUUCAUUUGCUGUGCUAUAAAGAAACACCUGAGGCUGGGUAAUUGAUAAAGAAUAGAGGUUUGUUUGGCUCAUGGUUGUGCAGACAUAUAAGCAUAUAGGCAUGACACCAAUAUCUGCUUAACUUCUGGUGAGGUCUUAGGAAGAUUUUACUUAUGGCAGAGGGUGAAUGGGGAACAAGCGUGUCACAUGGUGAGAGAGAGAGCCAGAGAGCUCCCAAAUUCUUUUAAACAACUAGUUCUCAUGGGAAAUGAUAUAAUGAGAACUCACUCAUUACUGUGAAAAGGGCCCCAAGCCAUUCACAAGCAGUCUGUCCCCAUGACCCAAACAUCUCCCACCAGGCCCCACCUCCAACACUGGGGACCACGUUUCAACAUGAGAUCUGGAGGGUAAAAACGUCCCAACUCUAUCAGUGAGAUUGGUCUUUUGAGAUGUUUUCCAGACUUUUGAAUUCUGGCAACUGACUGGCCCCCACCUGGACUCAUGAUUCAACCAGUCCUAUGGCCCCCAACAGAGAGGUGAGCUCAGCACAAGAGGACUGUUUUCCACAUCCUUAUACUUGCAUCUCCAACCAAUCAGCAACACACAUUCCCUAGUCCCCUGCCCACCAAAUAUCCUUGAAAAACCCUAACCUCCAAACCUUCAGAGAGACUGAUUUGAGUGAUAACUUCAGUUAUCCCAUGUGGUCAGUCUUGCAUUAAUUAAACUCUUGUUUUUAGUGCAAAAUAACUCAGUGAAAUGGUCUUCUCUGUGCAAUGGGCAGGAAGAUCCCAUCAGGUGAUUAAUGACAUUAUAUGAACCUCUUCUGUGACUGUAGCCAGCCUACCCUGCAUUUCUGGCAAUAUGAGCCUAUUUUAUAAACCACUUGCUGCUUUAGCCAUUUUGAAUUGGGUUUCUGUCACUUGCAAAAGGAAAGUUCUGAAAAAUACAGAGCCUAAUCAAAUUUUGUGAGUACUAAAUGAAAAACUAUGUAAAGAGCUAAAAGGACUAUCUGUUACAUAAAAGAUAUUCACACUACAAGGCUACAGUAACCAAAACAGCAUGAUACUGGUACCACAACAGAGACAUAGAUCAAUGGAACAGAACAGAGCCCUCAGAAAUAAUGCCGCAUAUCUACAACUAUCUGAUCUUUGACAAACCUGACAAAAACAAGCAAUGGGAAAAGGAUUCCCUAUUUAAUAAAUGGUGCUGGGAAAACUGGCUAGCCAUUUGUAGAAAGCUGAAACUGGAUCCCUUCCUUACACCUCAUACAAAAAUUAAUUCAAGAUGGAUUAAAGACUUACAUGUUAGACCUAAAACCAUGGAAACCCUAGAAGAAAACCUAGGCAAUACCAUUCAGGACAUAGGCAUGGGCAAGGACUUCAUGUCUAAAACACCAAAAGCAAUGGCAACAAAAGCCAAAAUUGACAAAUGGGAUCUAAUUAAACUAAAGAGCUUCUGCACAGCAAAAGAAACUACCAUCAGAGUGAACAGGCAACCUACACAAUGGGAGAAAAUUUUUGCAACCUACUCAUCUGACAGAGGGUUAAUAUACAGAAUCUACAGUGAACUCAAACAAAUUUACAAGAAAAAAACAGCCCCAUCAAAAAGCGGGUGAAGGACAUGAACAGACACUUCUCAAAAGAAGACAUUUAUGCAGCCAAAAAACACAUGAAAAAAUGCUCAUCAUCACUGGCCAUCAGAGAAAUGCAAAUCAAAACCACACUGAGAUACCAUCUCACACCAGUUAGAAUGGCCAUCAUUAAAAAGUCAGGAAACAACAGGUGCUGGAGAGGAUGUGGAGAAAUAGGAACACUUUUACACUGUUGGUGGGACUGUAAACUAGUUCAACCAUUGUGGAAGUCAGUGUGGUGAUUCCUCAGGGAUCUAGAACUAGAAAUACCAUUUGACCCAGCCAUCCCAUUACUGGGUAUAUACCCAAAGGACUAUAAAUCAUGCUGCUAUAAAGACACAUGCACACGUAUGUUUAUUGCGGCACUAUUCACAAUAGCAAAGACUUGGAACCAACCCAAAUGUCCAAAAACGAUAGACAGGAUUAAGAAAAUGUGGCACAUAUACACCAUGGAAUACUAUGCAGCCAUACAAAAUGAUGAGUUCAUGUCCUUUGUAGGGACAUGGAUGAAACUGGAAACCAUCAUUCUCAGUAAACUAUCGCAAGGACAAAAAACCAAACACCACAUGUUCUCACUCAUAGAUGGGAACUGAACAAUGAGAACACAGGGACACAGGAAGGGGAACAUCACACUCUAGCGACUGUUGUGGGGUGGGGGGAGCAGGGAGGGACAGCAUUAGGAGAUAUACCUAAUGCUAAAUGACGAGUUAAUGGGUACAGCACACCAACAUGGCACAUGGAUACAUAUGUAACAAACCUGCACAUUGUGCACAUGUACCCUAAAACAAAGUAUAAUAAUAAUAAGAUAUUCACUAAAUAUCAGUUCCCCUCUGCCUCCCCCCUCCCAAUCUCUGUAACACCACACACAAUCCCUGUGCAAGCACAAACAAUAAUAUAUGAGUGAAAAUAUAUAGAGUUUUAAAUUUACAUUUAUCCUCCAUAUGAGAAAGAAACAAGUGAGAAAAAUAACCUCUUAAUAACUACAGGAUCAGCCACAUAUUUUCUUAAUAAAGGAGACCACUACUUUUUUACUUAGACACAAGAUAUAGCAGCUUUUCUCCAAAAACAUGAAAAGCAAUUGCUGACUUAUUGAUAAGUAAGGCUCAUAAUGCUAAAAUAUGAGAAACUUUAAUCUUAAGCUCAUGCAAUGUUACCAUAAUUACUAGUUGGACUGGGAUAUUUAGUUUCCUAAAAGUUUGUAGGGACAAUAAUUAUUUGCAAGCUUAGGCUAACUAGUAGAUAUUGAGAAAGAUGAUUUUUCCUUAAUUUUAUAUGUUGAGAUUAAAACAUGGUUCUAUUUGAA
Molecule: long non-coding RNA, 4961 nt
Organism: Symphalangus syndactylus (siamang)
Lineage: Eukaryota; Metazoa; Chordata; Mammalia; Primates; Hylobatidae
Source: RefSeq, a predicted model, not a curated record